AGAGUGCCUGUUGUAUUUUUUAGUAGCCUCUCUCACCAGUCGACAUCUUGUUCAGAUGAUUAGUUCUACGUGACAGUCCACUCUAGCAAGAGUCUGGGUGCAGUGAUGAACCUUUCACUUUUGGAUGAUGGAUCUAACAGUGCUUAACGAAAUUUUUAUGCACUGCAAAAAAUGCCUAUGCAAACACUAGACACAAAAACUUUAAAUGGGAGUUGUUUUGCUUUUAUUUAGUUAAAAAAAAUCUGCCAAUAAGGGUUGUGGCAGCCUGAAGUGGGGUGCCCUUUGCAGUGGCACCAUUGCAAAAUUUCAGACUCCAAACAACUAGAGCUGUAACUGAAUGACCAAGGAAUGGGAGAACUGAGACACAGACAAUGAUGACUGCUCCAAGAAAGAAAAUUCUGGUUUAUUCCAGAUGUGCCAACAACUAUUUACAGUAAUGUCUUUCAAUUACAUACACAAUUCAAUGCAAGAACGUUAACAAAGACAAGAAAAGUACAUGCAGUUGCUUUAUACAAUAAUUACAAUGACUCUAAACAAAAAUAAAUAAAAAGCCUUUUCCUUCUCCUUCUCCUUCAACAUAAAGUUCACAAAGGAUGGACAGAAAAAUAAUCAAAAACAAAAAGUUAAAAAAGGAUUACCUUCAUCCAAAAAUGUAUACAAAUAGGAAGUAAACUGUCCUCACUAAUAUACUGUAUAUCAACUCAAGUACUCAUUCUGUGCUCCACCAACUUAGCAGUAAAGAUGCAUCUGAAAGCCCGAAGACCAGUCAAAAAAUAGCCCCUGGCUGUUUGGACCUUUUGCCUAGCCAAUCAUUACUAAUGUCUUCUGGGGUCCUCCCAUAACACGACGUCAAGUCACAUACUCUUCGUCCUCUGGUCAGAUGUAGUGUUAAAUCUUAGCCUAUCCCCACAUGCACAUGCAUGUAUGCAACCAUGAUGGUGAACUUUCACCUGUUUUCACUCAGUCUUUUCUAUCUGUACAUGUGUAUUCUCUGCCAGCAACCUCUUAAUCUCAGCCCUCUGAUCUUUCCUUCCUGCGGUGGAGUUGGGCCGCUUUAAUUUGAAAGCGUACCUGAGGAUAAUCUAGCAGCAUCAUACACAAGCCUCGGCAUAGUGUCUCUUCAAAGUCGGAGAAGCUCUCGGACUUGCGGGCCUUCAAAUCGGUAGGGCAACUUACAAGGGGACACCAAAUGCCAGUGUGACAUUGCCCCACCGUCAUGUUCUCCCACUCUAGAGCGUUAACAUAACAGAUAAGUGACUUUUACCACUAUACCUAUUUAUUCAUUCAUGAGAAGCUAUAAAUAGCUAUACUAAAUACUACUUUAAAAUUAUCUGCGGGCUCGGCUUAUCACAUGCAGCCUGUGCUACUUGGAAGCCCAUACAUUGUAGGGUGCUCUCAUGUACACACCCUACAUCAAAAUAAAUGGCAUGACUUUGGGAUACAGGAAGAAAUUGAAGUACCUGGAUGAAUACUAUGGAAUCUGGGGACAGUAAACAUAUUCCAGUGUUUCCAACCCAUGAGUUUCUGGAUGUCCUCAAUGGGUCAUCAGCUUAAGUUAAAAAAAAAAAACUUUUAAAACAGAUAUCGCUUAAAUGUUUUAGGGGAUACUGAUUGAAGAUUUCAGUUCUGGAACCAAUCAAAGGGGCAUUUUGCUUCUGCAUACUAAGAAUCACAAUACUGCAGAACUUAAUUGGAUGGUAGAGCAGCCACCCACCUGACAUAUCAAAACACCACCACCUGCAUUCAGGAGUAUCUGGAUGAACUCUCAUCUGCAUUCUUACAGUCAGGAAAAUGUAUAAGGCACCAGCAUCUGAACAGGUAGCUUCUACUACCUGGCACAUGUAAUGAUAUGAUUGCUGUUAUAAUGAGUAGUACAAGCUAUUUGAAACACUGAGGUUUCAGCUAAUUACCUUACCAACAAGCCAGCCACCACAUACAGUAUCAUCACGUCUGUCACAGAUACUUUGCCUCAAAAUAAAUGAAUCACCGAUGGCCCAGGCCUCUGAGACAGGAUCUUUGUCAGCCACUUCUUGGAAUCACUGCUCACGGCUAACAAAACGGCUUAAUUCUUGCUAGCUGCCUAUAUUGCAAUAAGAGUGCAGUAAAUUGCUCUGAUUAUGUUAGGAGAACCUGACACUGCUGCAAAUUGCCUUUUUAUGUUGGCAAAACAUGUUAUGUUUAAUGUGUGUGCAGUCACACAAUACGAAAACUGAUUGUAGCACUUUGUUGGUCAAUUAAUGGCUUCUAGCACAGUGGACAUGAUGGAGUCAAGCUUGGUUGAGAUAUAUUCCUGACCUGUUGGCCAAUUCCCUGAGAAGUGACAACAGGCAGCUUAUAAAAACUGAUGAAAAACCAAAAAAGUUCUUCAGUGCAAAUAUGAAGCAUCAGUCCUCUUAAAAAGGAGCUAAAACACAGUCUGUACAUCAUAUUCAUCACUUCUGAGGUAUAAUAUACAGUACUUAUCUACAAAUCAGGUCAGGUUGGGGAGCACGUAGCAGACACAUGGUACAUUCCCACCCCCCAGAAAUGACAAUCUAUCUGCCGCAGCCAGGUGUUAUGUGGACGGCCCCUUGGCCUGAUUCACCCCCUCGGGUCCUCAACAAUGAGGAUUCUGUGAGCCCAAUUCACCCUCAGAGAAUCGUGUCACAUGGUCAUAGUGCUGUAACUUGAUGCUCCCACGCAAUGCAGGUAAUGUGCCUCAUUCGGGACUCAAUGAGUAACAGCUUGUUCGACACAAAGUCAAGCCAGCAGUACCCAAGGAUUCUCCGAAAAGACACAGUACCAAAGAAGUCCAGCCUUCAUCUCAGGUUUCUGGAUACUGUCCAUGUCUCGCAACCUAAUAGCAAAACAGGAAGCAGCAGGACUAUAAAGACUUGAACCUUCAUUUUUUGUAUGAUAUUGGCAGAGCCACACGCCCAUUCCAGUAACCUCAUGAUCCCCUAUGCUCUCCCAAUCCAUGUACUGACUUCAUAGGAAGAGUCACAAGAGACAUGAAUGUUGCUGUCAAGGUAACUAAACCUCUCGACACUCUCUCCACAGACAGACGCACUGCUGAUGGCUGUGCCUAAGAGGUCAUUAAAGGCCUAGAUCUUGGUUUUCAUCCAGGACACUUACAAGCCCAGACACUCAGACUUCUUGCCCGGUCUCUUGAGAACCCCAAUCAAAGCCUCCAUUGACUCCAUGAAGAUCAUAGUAUUGUUGACAAAGUCAAGAUCAAUGAACCUUUCUUAACCAACAGAUGCCCCAUAGCUGCUGAACUGCAUGACCCUGCCCAACACCCAGACCUUGCAAGCACUGACCAGAGUAGGAGCAAGAAAACAUCCCAGAACAACCCCAGAAACAAAGGGGAAAAACGCAGAAGUUCUGCCUUCACUCUUCAUAGCACUCACAGUACCAUUGUACAGGCUGGCCCUGAUAUCCAGAAACUUUGGGAGGAUCCCACAAAGUCUCCGGAUGCCUCACAGAGCAGCUCAAUCAACUGAGUUGAACACUUUACGAAAAUUGACAAAGACUGCAAAGAAACUCUGCUGAUAUCCGCGUUUAUGUUCCAUGAGAACCCUCAGUGCCAGGAUGAGGUCAAUGGUAGACUUCUUAGGUGUAAAAACAGACUGCUCGGGUCGCUGGUAGGUGAGCGAGUUGUUUUGUCUUGGUAGAGUAAUAUAUAUUGCUCUACUUUCCCCAAUUGUAUUAUUAAUAUGUAGCCUUAGAAUGCCUAAUCUCACAGACUUACCACUGUUUAUAAGGUACUAUUGUAUAUAACUUAUCCCCACCUUCCCUUCUAUAUCUAUAACCUCAGGCAAUUAGAUGUAGUAAAAAGGCAAGCAGAAGUUAAGUUACAGUUUAAACAAUGUAUUAUUGAUAAUAUUCAUAAAUAAUAACAAAAUGCAAAGUACAUUUGAAUAUUGGCAACCAUACAACCUGAUUAAAUGAUGAUAUGUAGUUCAGGUGGCACACAGACUUCUGGUUACUUAAAUGUCUUUAGUUAAGGCAUCAUUGGUGCUCAGCUUUCAGCCACAUGUCUGUUCAAAAUGGCUGCUGAGCUGUGCUGUUCAUUGUGUUCUCUUCAUCAUCACAGGUUAGCAAGAGAGAUGCUUCUUCAUCAUAUGUUGGUUGGUAAGAGAGAGAUACUGAGGUUAAACACAUACAUUUAUAGAUGUUUUGUCCAACCCCGAGAGCCAAUAGCACAUCAUGGUACUUAAAGGCUUCUGAACCAAGCCAAUUCCAAACAGCCAUACUUCAGACCAAUGGGGGAAAUAGAACAUCUUAACACCUGCCCCCAAACCAUAUGUUAAAGUACACCUUAGCCCAUUUGCGGGGGUAGAAAUGACUUUAGCAAAGAAACACUCGGCAAACUGGUUUAAAACACACAUCCCCCAAAUUCUGUCGUAAAAUUCAAACAGACCCAUUCCUAAGGGGGUCAAACACUAAAUUACAUUCCUUUGUCUAAAUUACAAAUAAAGAUAUACAGUACAAAAUAUUCAUCAAGUUAUAUGUAAAAUCUCACAUCACAACACGAGUGAUCACAGAUCUUAUUGAGGAUGACCAUACCAAGGACGUUACCCGGCAGUGUUAUCCUCCUGUAGUUGCCGCAAUCUAGGCGAUCACCCUUCUUUACUUAUCUACAUAUUUAUGUAGAUAUGGGGACAAUUACUAAUCUAUCUAUCUAUCUAUCUAUCUAUCUAUCUAUCUAUCUAUCUAUCUAUCUAUCUAUCUAUCUAUCUAUCUAUCUAUCUAUCUAUCUAUCUUAUUAUACAAAUGAGUCGUCAUUUAGCUGGUUUGGCUGCAUUUCCCUACUUAACCAACAGUGUCACCAUUUCCCAGUUUCUCUGAAAUGGAUUACAGUUGUUGUAAAUAUACAUAUGUUCUGCCAUCAAUCCCCGUGUUUGUGUGGGAAGCUGGGUAUGCACAUUUUGAGCCUUUUUUUGUGCACAUGCAAGGUUUAUAAAUGAAACUCCAGGCCAAUGGCGCUAAAGGACAGCAGCGCUUACCACAACCCAUUAUUCAUAUUUACAGAAAUGUAAUUUUUCAACUUUUCUCCCAAUAAAAUAUUAUGUUUACAUUUCUUACAUUUUACAAAUAUAAAAAUAUGGUUAAAUGAACUUAAGCUACACCCUGCUCACAAACUACUCUUUCAACAUCAUAGCCUAUCUUUCACUUUGAAAAAGACACCACAUUUCUUUCUUUAGUUGCAAUUUUCCAAGAAAUUCUGGGUACAUAUAUAGGGAUCUGGCAUAUUUGGUGUCAGUAUUUACCUAAAUAAUCAAUUUACACAAUGGUCUGGAGCUGGCCUUAAAUAUGCACGUGUAAAUUUGAAUACAAUAUAAAUGAAUUAAGCUCAUGGCCAUUCCUGUGCCAUUCCUGUGCCAUUCACCAGUCCAUCACAAGGCAUGGUAAUAACUGGGCCAAUUUGUUAUUGCCGGUAAGUUUAGCAACAUAUUUUUACAGUGGGUGGAAACUCCAGCAUACAUUACACAAAGGCAUUCAAGCAGGAAUUCAACUAAAGUAACUUUGAGGCAACAAUACUAAAGGCUUUGUCAGUUUGACAUUUUAAAUAUUUUGUCCUGUAUUAUUUUACAAUGGAUCUUCAAGCUAUUGUAUAAUGCAGUAUGUGUUUAUUGUUCUUGUGCAUUUAAUAAAUUGCUCUGUGACAGAUGAGGUGAAGCAGAAAAUAAAAACUGACGGUCAGUCACGACAUGGUUGCAUGUACAUUACCAAGCAAUUUUGAUAGUAAUUGUUUAAUAAAUAUUUCUGGUGCUGAUAUGUGUGUGAAUAGACCAGUCAAAAUGCAGACUCUAUCGAAUUUUUAACAGUGCAGGCCAGCAGUGAUCUAAAUAAAGUGGAAAAAUGCUACAUAAAAUUGGAUAAAUGAAGUAAACAAUAAAGUAAUUACAAUAAACAGAUUUUCUGCCAAAUACCAGAUUCUAUAUCCAUUGUGGAGAGUUGCUGACGUGUGAUACGUUGUGUGUUCAUUUUGACAGAUGCUGGACUGCAUAGUUAGAAUAAUAAAAAAUUGCUAGGCUAUUAGUUGGCAAAAUUAUGGGUCAUUGUGGAAAUGAGAGCGAGAUAGUAAUAACCCUUCAUUAGCUUUUUCAUUAAGCUUUCAGCCUGAUAAUGAUCUGAUCCCAACAGCUAGCAAAACAUUUCACUAGAAAGGCAAGCUCUGUCUGGUUUAGACUCUUGAGAUGAGUAAUGUGCUUUGAUUAAUCAUAACAGAAAAACAAGAGUUUAACUCUGAAUGAAAUAAACACACUUCUUCAGAUGUUUCUGUCUAGAAGAAUAAGGAGAUGAAAUGAAAAGACAUGACCUUCAACAAAAUGUUUUACAUGUUUUGUGUGCUUUAUGUCAACACAAAAUAGUAAAAUAAAUACGGAACUAUGUAAGGCAUGUAAGAGAGUACAACUAUCAGCUGAUCAGUAAAUAGGAGCUUAUUCAGAUCACACUAGCCUAAAGAAAACAUUGUAACACCAAGAACAUCAUAAACUCCAUAAUUAUGACUUAUUGUUAUUUUUCAAGUGUGUCUCAAAUCUCAUUGAAACUAAAGUAGCACAUUAAAUCUACCAUAAUCUAUGUGCUCCCACUAACUAGGCUCUAGGUGUUACUUAUACUUGCCAUCUCUUGCGUCAACAGUAUCAACAGACAGAUCACUUUAAAUUCACGCCAUGACAAUUCUCUGAAAAUGUCACACUUUUAAGAUUUAUACUUAACUAAGUGACAUGUAUUACUUUAGUGAUGAAAUGCAGGGGUAUGCUUUUGUAGGAUUAUAUUAUAUAGAUCAAUUAUUAAGUUCAAUCACAUGCCAAGUCAUUAUCUAACCAGUUUAAUCCAGAGUAGGGUCACGGUAGGGCUGGAGCCUUCAAGUUCAAUUACAUAAUUUCAGCAUUUAUAAGUUGGUAAUAUAUCUAUGUUCUGUAAAAAUCUUACCUUUGAAUUCCGUGUCUCCUUCUCCGACUAGCAGAAAGAGUGCAACUAUUGCACAUUAUUUAAGUAAAAAGAUUGGAUUACAUUUGACACCAAGUAAUGUUCCCCACAUCUUGGAGCCUCGUUUCACCAGCUUUUCUGUGCUAAACAUACAGAUUACUGUAGUUAUAAUCUCUAAGGACUUUUUAUAGAUGUGUGGCAAAAAGUCCUAGAAGUACCAAUGAUGCCUUCAUCUGAGGCCAAUUCAGUAGUGUGCUACAAGGCAUAGAGUCAGAGAGUGUGGUGGUUUAUGGUUACUGGGUAAGAACAAAAUUGUGCAUAUCUGUUUACACUUGUGACUAACCUCCAGACAGUGGCCACAAUACAUCAGCAUACCCUAAACUUGGUGAAAUGCAAUAAAGUCACAUUCAAGUUUUGUUAUUUGUUCUAAUUUCUCUAUGUUUGUUAAUUACAUGUCAUAUCUGUUUAGCAUUUUGGAAUGGCUAUGGUUAUUUUUCAGUGUGCUUUAUAAAUAAAUUUGACUUUGACUUUGAAUGUAGUAUAGGUAUAGGUAUAAAUAUAUGUCUUCUAUCCUUCUAAGUUGCCAGGUGGCAUCAGAUUUUCACUUCCGUGGCCCUGCACUUUGAUGGGUGUGUGUACAACAUUACAAUACACUGCUGUUAGAGCAGGCAUACACCUGUUAAAUCAAGAAGUGGAAGAAAGAAUGGAGGUUGGAAAUGUCAAAAUGUCUGAUCUUUGUACACAGGGCAUAUACCAGGCUAGAGACACCAUUAAUGCUAUCAUUUUUAUGUCAUUUUUGUUGAAUGGUUUGCAUUAGAUUGUAUUUGAGAUACUCCAUAAAUAUUUGAGAAAUAAACAUACCAUGCACAGUCCAAA
Long non-coding RNA from Erpetoichthys calabaricus (reedfish), 7794 nucleotides. RefSeq lists it as uncharacterized. The transcript is spliced from 2 exons. The record is from RefSeq and is a predicted model, not a curated record. NCBI's taxonomy places the organism in Eukaryota, Metazoa, Chordata, Cladistia, Polypteriformes, Polypteridae.